GGCUUUCGGCAAAGUCGAUUUCGGGAAGUUGCUUUGCAUUUAAUCAAACGAGAAUAGCUCGGCAAAUUGAGGUGGCGAACAUCGAAACCUGCCACAUACAUUCCCUGACUGCACCCAAGUUCGUAUUUCUGGUCUGCAUGAAUAAAGUGAGGUCUUCAUUGGUUGGGGGUCGACCAUGUAUGUUUUGUCCUAGCUGUCUACAAAUACACAAGCCAGGGCAAUACGAUACAGAGAGCAAGCUUUUGCUCAUGAAGUAGGCUCCCCCCUGUCCAGGUAGCUGAUGGAACAGCAGAAGCCGCUACAGUUGUAAAUGAUGAUUUCAAUACCCACUGCAGAUGCUUGAAGUCCAAAAUAAAAUGGGAAUAUCCAUUUCUGACGAAAGGUCUUCGACCUGGCUCGUUACUGCCGUUUCUCUCACCAAAGAAGCAACCUUACGUACGACAAACAACAGGAAUUCUGCAGAUGCUGGAAAUUCAAGCAACACACAUCAAAGUUGCUGGUGAACGCAGCAGGCCAGGCAGCAUCUAUAGGAAGAGGCGCAGUCGACGUUUCAGGCCGAGACCCUUCGUCAGGACUAACUGAAAGAAGAAGUGAAGCAGGAUGGCAGUAAAGAUGAAGCAAACAUUGACUUACCGAGAGACCGCUUUGGAUACUUUGAUGAGUAUGGAAUCAAACCAAUCAUUCCCCGGCUGAGCAAGCAAAUAAAGAAAGCACCGUUGUCAUUCUUGCAGAAAGCAGGACGAAGCAAGAGGGACGACCCAGACAUGGAGGACUAUUAUAAUUAUCUUGGAUAACUACUUGUAUCAGAAUAUUUAUACUUUAUUUUCUAGCUGUGAAUGAAACAUGAAGUUUGGGAACUGUGUAGAUGUGAAACCAAAGUGCGUGUAUUUUGUUUUGGACA
Molecule: long non-coding RNA, 901 nt
Organism: Mobula hypostoma (lesser devil ray)
Lineage: Eukaryota; Metazoa; Chordata; Chondrichthyes; Myliobatiformes; Myliobatidae
Exons: 3
Source: RefSeq, a predicted model, not a curated record